AAAUGAUUGUUGGUUAGCAGAACAAGUAUUUCUCUAGCAGUGCAAGCAGACGUUUUCUUCCUGGUGACAUGUGAGAGUGGGUGGCACCCCUCGUUUUAUAGCCCUUCGCAGAUGCUGCAUUUUUUCAAGUGGAAGGGACUGCAAUGUUGAUGUGGCAGAAGUGCGUCAUCAACCAUCCUGAGGAAGCAACAUCUAUGAAAAUGGUGGAGUAGUGCCUGGGAAGAAAAUGAAG
Leptonychotes weddellii (Weddell seal) is the source of this 232-nucleotide non-coding RNA. The record is from RefSeq and is a predicted model, not a curated record. Lineage: Eukaryota; Metazoa; Chordata; Mammalia; Carnivora; Phocidae.